Molecule: small nucleolar RNA, 82 nt
Organism: Juglans microcarpa x Juglans regia
Lineage: Eukaryota; Viridiplantae; Streptophyta; Magnoliopsida; Fagales; Juglandaceae
Product: small nucleolar RNA snoR20a
Exons: 1
Source: RefSeq, a predicted model, not a curated record
ACCAAUUACUAGGAUAUUGAUUUUGAUUAUAUUUUAAAACUUGUAUGUGGGUUGAAAUUCAUGAACUAGGACGGUUUGAGGC